RNAcentral lists this ribosomal RNA (361 nucleotides) under uncultured Fusibacter sp. Its description in RNAcentral is "bacterial SSU rRNA". It matches the Rfam family "Bacterial small subunit ribosomal RNA", at positions 1023 to 1382 of the family's 1533-position model. The record is from RNAcentral. Lineage: Bacteria; Bacillati; Bacillota; Clostridia; Eubacteriales; Fusibacteraceae.
UACAAGUUGAGACAGGUCGGUGCAUGGUUGUCGUCAGCUCGUGUCGUGAGAUGUUGGGUUAAGUCCCGCAACGAGCGCAACCCUUGUGUUUAGUUGCAAACAGGUCAAGCUGUGCACUCUAGACAGACUGCCGUGGACAACACGGAGGAAGGUGGGGAUGACGUCAAAUCAUCAUGCCCCUUAUGAUCUGGGCUACACACGUGCUACAAUGGCCGGUACAACGGGCAGCGAAGGAGCGAUCCGGAGCGAAUCCUAAAAAGCCGGUCCCAGUUCGGAUUGCAGGCUGAAACUCGCCUACAUGAAGUUGGAGUUGCUAGUAAUCGCGAAUCAGAAUGUCGCGGUGAAUGCGUUCCCGGGUCUU